GGGGAUUUUCAACACUUCGGACAAUAACUCAAAAGGCUUUCACCAAUGUCCAUGAAACUUUGGUGAAUUGUUUAUAUCUAUUGAUGUAAGCUCCCUUUCAAUUUUUAUAAAUUUCAGAUUUUAAGUUUUGGAUUUAUGGGGCUUUAUUCAUAAAAAAAAGGGGGAUUUUCAACACUUCGGACAAUAACUCAAAAAGGCUUUCACCAAUGUCCAUGAAACUUUGGUGAAUUGUUUAUAUCUAUUGAUGUAAGCUCCCUUUCAAUUUUUAUAAAUUUCAGAUUUUAAGUUUUGGAUUUAUGGGGCUUUAUUCAUAAAAAAAGGGGGAUUUUCAACACUUCGGACAAUAACUCAAAAGGCUUUCACCAAUGUCCAUGAAACUUUGGUGAAUUGUUUAUAUCUAUUGAUGUAAGCUCCCUUUCAAUUUUUAUAAAUUUCAGAUUUUACAUUUCCGUGUUAUGAAUUUUUAUGCUUAAAAAAGGGGGGGAUUUUCCAAUUUUGGG
This 500-nucleotide long non-coding RNA is filed under the name Mytilus galloprovincialis (Mediterranean mussel). Lineage: Eukaryota; Metazoa; Mollusca; Bivalvia; Mytilida; Mytilidae. The record is from RNAcentral.